Molecule: ribosomal RNA, 311 nt
Filed under: uncultured bacterium
Lineage: Bacteria
Description: bacterial SSU rRNA
Rfam family: Bacterial small subunit ribosomal RNA
Source: RNAcentral
GAUGAACGCUAGCGGCAGGCCUAACACAUGCAAGUCGAGGGGUAACAGGGGGUGCUUGCACUCUGCUGACGACCGGCGCACGGGUGCGUAACGCGUAUGCAACCUACCUUCUACAGGGGGAUAGCCCAGAGAAAUUUGGAAUAAUACCCCAUACGAUCUUUACUUGGCAUCGAGUAAAGAAGAAAACUUCGGUGGUAGAAGAUGGGCAUGCGUCCUAUUAGUUAGUUGGUGAGGUAACGGCUCACCAAGACAUCGAUAGGUAGGGGCCCUGAGAGGGGGAUCCCCCACACUGGUACUGAGACACGGACCAG